RNAcentral lists this ribosomal RNA (253 nucleotides) under uncultured bacterium. RNAcentral describes it as "partial 16S ribosomal RNA". It matches the Rfam family "Bacterial small subunit ribosomal RNA", at positions 524 to 776 of the family's 1533-position model. The record is from RNAcentral.
UACGGAGGGGGCUAGCGUUGUUCGGAAUUACUGGGCGUAAAGCGCACGUAGGCGGAUCAGUAAGUUAGAGGUGAAAGCCCAGGGCUCAACCCUGGGACUGCCUUUGAUACUGCUAGUCUAGAGAUCGAGAGAGGUGAGUGGAAUUCCGAGUGUAGAGGUGAAAUUCGUAGAUAUUCGGAGGAACACCAGUGGCGAAGGCGGCUCACUGGCUCGAUACUGACGCUGAGGUGCGAAAGCGUGGGGAGCAAACAGG